CACAUAUAAGACAUAACAAAGACAUAGGCUAAGAAAACAAUAAACAGAUUAACAGUCUCUUAUGCAGAGAGAGGGAGAACCUCUCAGUUUGAAUUCAGGACAGCAAGUAAGAAGGCUAACAGAAACUUAGACUCCACUCCCAAGCCUGAACGUAGAGACAAAACAUACAGACAAGCAUGCCCCCAGACAAGAGCCGAGAAAAUGCCUAUCUAGGAAACUCCAACAGAAUUUACCAUGUAUAAAAGGCCUGCUCAACUUAGGCCCUCCAGCUGUUUUGGAUUAUAGCUCCCAUAAUCCCCAGCCACAGUGGUCAAUAGCCAGGGAUUAUGGGAGUUGUAGGCCAACAUCUGCAAGAGGGCUGAAGUUGAACAGUCCUGCUGUAUAACAAGAUGGUUGUACUGAAAAAAUAAGGUGAAUGUUCUGUAUGGUAGGAAUAACUGGUUCCAAAGCUUUCACAGAAUAAAGCGCAUCAUAAAAUGGCUGCUCAAAAACUGCUUAGCUGUUGCUGCCCUUAAUCAACUUUAACAGCAAGUCUAUUGUAGUGGCAGUGCAACAAGGAGAGGAGGUAUGGCUUGAACACAAAGAGCUCUAAUUUUCAACUUGCAUGGUAAUCAUUUGAUGUCAACUUGCAUGGUAAUCAUUUGAUGAAUAAAUCAAUCAGGAGCAGAUGGACAGUCUUUCAGAAGCCACACAAUUUACCAUAAGAAAAGGAAAUCUGAGGCGAAUGCAAAUAACUGAAGAGACUCGACCAGUAAAGGAAAACAGAGUGAGACACAUAUCCAGCAGUAUAACAAGAAACCUGUGACUUUCAUUGUGUCUGGAAGUCCUGAGCUCUUUGGCCAAACUCAGGCUGUAAAGCCUGACACUUCACUGGGCUUAGGCCUUAUCUCAGUCUCAGCGUCUUUCUGAGACAUGUUGCCUCCUGAAGAGCCUGUGCUGAACUGAAAUUUAUGGAAGUCCAGUAAUGUGAUAUGAAUGUUUUUCAAGACAUUGCUUAGGAAGAGUGAAGGAGAGACAAAACUAAUGCAAACAGAAACAAUAAGGCCCCAAAGGAGAUAGAGGCCCCAAUAGAGGCCUCUGUCCUGCACUGUAGCUGACGUUGUAGUUGAAAAGACAGAAGAGUAAGAGUAGGAGGAAGACAGGAAGCCUACACAAAGAGCUGGAAGUGAAGCUGUCCUGUCCUGUGGCUUGAGCUGACUGCUGUAAGACUCGAAGGCUGAGAAGCAGGAAAAAUGAACGUAGCUGAUGUAUCAUCGAAAGCAGAUACAAUACACUCUUGGCCUCUUCCUCAUCCUGAGAAACCGGAGAAAGUUUUGGAUCCAGGAGCACUCAAGCUACAUAACCGAUCUUUCAGGAGGAGUGUAACCCCAUCCAGAACAAGGAGAUAUAAACCAUCUCUUGGGUUCAAACCCCCACAACGAUCAUCAUUUGCCAUCUGGGAGACUGUAAAGGGGGAGGAACUGGCUGCCACCUCUGAUGUAUGAAGGCCAACCAUGGCAGCCAACUGCAUUCAAGAGAGAGAGGGACUUCCUACACUUUACUCCGGUUUCUGCAAGCUGCACAAACCAGAUGACACAUUGGAGCUUCUGGACUGUUGGUUGGUAUAAUAUAAUUAUGACUGGUUUGGGACAAUUGGCACUUGAUUCAUGGCUGUUGAAGAAUGGAUGAGCACAAGAAGGAACUUUUCCUUGGGGAGAAGUCCAGUGUGAGCUACUCCUAGGGUGAAGAAGAAGAAGAAGAAGAAGAAGAAGAAGAAGAAGAAGAAGAAGAAGAAGAAGAAGAAGAAGACACCGUCUAAUAUAGAGCAUAAUGCAGCAAUCCUUGAAUAUUCAAGGAAUAUGUGGUGAGCAAUUUUUGAAGGACAAAAGCAUGCUAGCGGAGAAACAAUGGGUGGCAGUGAGCACAUAAUACAAAAACACAGCUCAAGUUGAAGACAGGGAAAAGGUGAUAAUGGCAAACAUUAAUGCCUGCAUUAUAAAUAGACAGACUAUUCACCAGCAGCAAAGAAAGAUUUCUUUUUAUCUUGAAAUAUCAUGACAGGCAAAACUCAGCUCACUUAUUUGGCUGAGGUAGGUAGAUAAUACCUAUCACCUUUGCUGAUGAUUGGCACAAACACACAUGAAAAGUGAGUAUGAUUUAGUACCUUCUACUGUGUGUCACGUUAUGCCAUUAUAAUACUAGGUACACAGCCGGGAAAUCAACAGUGACACAAGAGAGAAAAAUGUAUGCAUUUGUCCAGCAUUAAGUUUCUUAUGCAGAAAGCACUUGAAGAGGGGUUGAGAGCUAUGCGUUCGCCUGGAAAAUUAUUGCUUUAUAACAGGCAGUAUUUUAUUAUAGAAAACAAAGAAGGGGCCUCUCUUCCAUGACGGUCGACAAUAGGGGAGGAGGUUGGAGAGAUGUCUGAAUUCUCAUAAAGAAUAAUGAGAAGAAAGGCACUGCAGUUCUCAUGAUUUCACAAAUGGUUUUAGGGGACUCAAGAUAUCAUGGGGCCUCACAAAAAUAACACUUGGAAAGGGCUGUUUAGACCUUAAGGAGGGACCCAGGUUGGGGAAGAAACACUUUAGCAAGAACAGACACCAACACUGGACAAUUCUUAAGACUUCAGUAAGGAAUCUCAGGCAUGUAUAGUAAAAUAACAUACUGCUUCAAAGAGUAUAUAUUGUGUGUGUUCAAAAGGAAGAUUGAGUCAAGUUAAGAAGAAACAAAUCCAGAGUCAAAAUAAACAAAUAGCAAGGAGAGAGGAUGGAAGAAAUCCCUAGGAAGGUGAGUCAUGGUAGGAAAUUGAAGAACCACUUAAAAUCAAGCAGCACGAAGAUACAUAGCCAAACUUGACUGUCAAGUUCAGUAACUUAGGACAAGGACUAGGGAUGUGCAAAAAAUUUCGGGCACAGAAACGAACAAUUUCGGGUGAUUCGGGGCCGAACUGAAUCACCCCCGAUGUCCCCCGAUAUUUUUCGGGCACGAGCCGAAUCACCCGAAUUUCGGGCACGAAAAAUUCGGGUGAUUCGGUUCACGGUUGAUUUUUGGUGA
Molecule: long non-coding RNA, 3030 nt
Organism: Hemicordylus capensis (graceful crag lizard)
Lineage: Eukaryota; Metazoa; Chordata; Lepidosauria; Squamata; Cordylidae
Exons: 4
Source: RefSeq, a predicted model, not a curated record